Sander lucioperca (pikeperch) is the source of this 540-nucleotide long non-coding RNA. RefSeq lists it as uncharacterized. NCBI's taxonomy places the organism in Eukaryota, Metazoa, Chordata, Actinopteri, Perciformes, Percidae. The record is from RefSeq and is a predicted model, not a curated record. The transcript has 3 exons.
UCCUGAUUGGCUGGCACGUUGCCAGAACUCUGUCAAUCACCGAGUGUAAACAAGGCUCUGAUUGGCUGCUGGCCAGUCCGCACUGGGGUGCCUGAAAAAAGCAAUUACUGCCCCUGCGGUUUCAAGGCGGCCCCGCGCUGAACGAUGAAAGGAGAUAAGGAGGGGCGGUUUCAAGGCGCCCCCCACGGCGAACCCUGUUGGCCCCAGAGCAAAAGGAGAGUCAAGAGUGACUAAAUCAAAGGGAAUACGAAAAUGGAGGAGAGAGCGGCAACAAGGACCGGGAAACAGCUUCGAGGGAGCUUCUUUUUACAAACACGGAGAGAAAAGUUUGUGUCGAGAAAGGAGACGGUGGACAGAGAGCGAUAGACCGGUGUGCAAGAGUUUUCCUCCGCGGCGAGGAGCCACACAUCCCCGGCCGCUUUUCUGCUGUCCAGCCCGGCCAGCCGAAGCCAGUUUCUCCCUGCUCUGGAGAUGUGGCGUCUGUGCACGAGUGUGUCACAUUUGAAAACGAAAUAAAUACACACAAAUUAAGCAUGCAAA